CCUACGGGUGGCAGCAGUGGGGGAUAUUGCACAAUGGGGGAAACCCUGAUGCAGCGACGCCGCGUGGGUGAAGAAGCGCCUCGGCGCGUAAAGCCCUGUCAGCAGGGAAGAAAAUGACGGUACCUGAAGAAUAAGCUCCGGCUAACUACGUGCCAGCAGCCGCGGUACUACGGAGGGGGCAAGCGUUAUCCGGAUUUACUGGGCGUAAAGGGGGCGCAGACGGGGUUGCAAGCCAGGAGUGAAGGCCCGGGGCCCAACCGCGGGACUGCAAUUGGAACUGGGUGGCUAGAGUGCAGGAGGGGCAGGCGGAAUUCGUGGUGUAGCGGUGAAAUGCGUAGAUAUCAGGAAGAACACCGAUGGCGAAGGCAGCCUGCUAAACUGCAACUGACAUUGAGGCCCGAAAGCGUGGGGAGCAAACAGGAUUAGAUACCCCGGUAGUC
This 440-nucleotide ribosomal RNA is filed under the name uncultured bacterium. Its description in RNAcentral is "partial 16S ribosomal RNA". It matches the Rfam family "Bacterial small subunit ribosomal RNA", at positions 338 to 795 of the family's 1533-position model. The record is from RNAcentral.